Long non-coding RNA from Phacochoerus africanus (Common warthog), 3066 nucleotides. RefSeq lists it as uncharacterized. NCBI's taxonomy places the organism in Eukaryota, Metazoa, Chordata, Mammalia, Artiodactyla, Suidae. The transcript has 4 exons. The record is from RefSeq and is a predicted model, not a curated record.
GGCCUUAUCCUAAGUUAAAUUGGUCUCUUGACAUAUUUUAGCAAUGCUCCUCUUUAAUGUAUGGUUGAUUUUCUCAGUCUUUCCUGUUGAUUGGGGUUCUCUAGGAUGAAUGUAGCAUCCAAUUAAUUUGCAGUGCUUUAGAUAUUUGUUGGGUUAUGCUAGAGACACAAGCAAGUCCAUUAUCACUUUGAAGGGAGUUAGGUAGUCCAAAAUCAGGAGAUAAUUUCCUUAGGGAGGGCUUUAACCACUUUGGAGGCUUUUUCUGUCCUGGUAGGAUAUGCCUCCGCCCAUCCUGAAAAAGUGUCCACAAAUACUAGCGUGGUACCUGAAAUCUCCUGCGGCUCAAAGCAAUUGGGUAAAGUCUAUUUGCCAGUCUUCUGAGGGACAGGCUCCUCUGUGUUAGGUCCCCAUCUGGGGAGGCCUCGCAGAAGGCUUUGGAUCAUUUUUAGCACAAAUCAUGCAGUUUUGAGUGGCUUGCUGCAUAGUCAUUUGUAGGUUAGGCCCCAUUAUGUAUUUUUGAAUACAUUACAAGGUGGCAUCUCUACUGUAAUGGGUACUAUUGUGAAUGUGCUAAAGCACAGGGUCCAAGAAGGCCUCAAGGACCAAAAAAAUUCUUAUGCACUACUUUUCCAGCCAGGCGAGGUGUGGUCAGUCCCCACUCUUUGGCCCUCUCUUUGUCCUUUUCUGAAUAUACCGGCUGGUAUUUUGACAAGUCAGUCUGUGGGAGAAGUGACCCUAUCUUGGCUUGAUAAUUGAAUUCCUUUGCUGCCUUCUUUGCAGCUUGGUCAACUAACCAGUUACCUUGUAUUAUAUGUUUCACCCUUUUGGUGGCCUGGGCAGUGCAUCAUGGCCACUGUGAGGGCUUAUGGAUGGCUUCUAAUAGUAACAGGCUUUCAGAAGCAUGUGUUAUAUCUUUAUUGUUUGAAGUGAUGAGCCCCCUUUCUUUCCAGAUUGCCCCAUUAGCGUGCACCACAGAGAAUGCAUCCUUUGUCCAAUAUUAUGUUUCCAAGGUCCCUGGACAGCACUUUACCAUACAAGGUAGGGGAAUUCUUAAAUCCUUGGAGCAGGACUGUCCAACAAUACUGUUGGACUACCUGUGUUUCUGGAUCCUGCCAUUCAAAUGCAAACAGCUGCUGUGAUUCUUCUGCAACAGGAAUGCCUAAAAAAGCAUCUUUCAAGUCUAAUACCAAGAACCAGCUGUCUUCUCCCAGAAUAGUUGUGAGUAAAGUGUAUGGAUUAGGUACCUCAGGGUGCAAAUCUUGGACUAUUUCAUUAAUAACCCCCGAGUCUUGGACAAAACGAUGCUCUGCUGAAUUUUCCUUUUUUUACCAGGAGGAUAGGGGUGUUAUAUGGGGAUCUGCAAGGUUUAAUCAAUCCUGGUUUCAAAAGCUUUUUGAGAAUUGGCUGAAUUCCCUUUAGGCCUCUUACCUUAGAAGAUACUGUUUUAGACUAGGUGUCCCAGCAUCCCUUUUUAAUGGAAUUUGUAUUGGCCAGGUGUUUUUGGCCUUCCCUGGGGUGCCAUCAGCCCACAUUUCUGGCCUUACCUCUUCGUAGACCUCUGGGGCAUCCAUGAGUGCCAUCUGUAGGUUCAAAGUGUGCUCCAGUGGGACUCUGAGUUCAAGCUCUUCUGGUGAAAAAGUUGAGCAUUUAAUUUACAAAGGUGAUCUUGGCUCAGAAGAGGGAUUGUACAUGGUGGCAAACAUAAGAAACUGUAUUUCAGGGUGAGGUUCCCUAAUUGGCAUUCUAGAGUUUGUAAGAAGAAUGACUUUGUACUUCUUCAGAAACUCCUAUAACUGGGAUGGAUUGGGAUGUUUUCUGCGCCACCCUGGGGUUUACCACAGAGUAUGUUGCACCUGUGUCUAUUAGAAAGUCAAUCAACUUGUCCUCUACUGUCAAAGUUACCCAGGGCUCCUGCAGGGAAAUUGCAAUUGGGUGCCUCAAGUCCAAGGGAGCCCCUGGGUCUCUUCAUUCCUCAUCAAAGUCUUCCUCUCUUCUUACCAUAUGAAAGGAUCCCAUCUUUCUUUUAUUGAUUUUCAUCUUAUUCUUUAGCCCAGGGCACUCUCUUUUCCAGUGCACUUCCUACUUAUAAUAAGCACAUUGUGCGCUCCCAGAUGGUGGCUCACCUCUCUUCAGAUUACUUGCCUUCGGGGAAGCCAAUGCUGCUGCCAGAAAAGUAGCACUCCAUCUUGCAUCCUCAUGCGUCUGCCGUUGUUCCCUGUUGAACACUUUAAAAGCAACAUCUACAAAUUGAGAAGGUUCGUUCCAAAUUCACCAACUUCGGCAAUCACCUUAUAUCUGGGGCACUUUGCCCAAUGAAAGUCAUAUUUACCAUUCUCAUAUUUUCAGGGGCCUCAAGCUUGCUAAAUUCUUUAUAGCAACUCUGAUGGAUCCUCAUUGGGUUUUUGGUGUAUCUCCUGAAUUUUGGUUCAUCUGCUUUGCCUAGGUACCUCCUGUUGAAGACCCACUAAGAUACACUUCCUACAGUGCUGUAGGUGUGGCCUAUCCCCAUUAUGAGGAUCCCAGUCAGGCUCAGCAAUGGCAACAGCAGAUUUGCUUCUGGAGUUCCAUCUGGAUCUUCUAGAUGAAGCUGGGAUGAUGAGCAGAAAAGAUACAAAGUGAAAAGUUGAGUCACAUGGAGGGGAUCCUCUUGGACCGCCCUUAUCCUGGCUUCUUUUCCACCUGCCUCUAGAAAGCUUAAGAUUCUAGCUUUCCUAAACAAGGAUGGUGUCUACAUUUGUGAACCAGAGAGGAACUCUGCAUGAAGUCUUGAAAGGCGUUUCCAGAGAGAGAACUGAUUCAAGAUAGACUGAGUGAAGAUGGCCCUCACCCCUAACCAGUGUAGGUGGGCAUAAUCUAAUCCACUGAGGACUGGAAGAGGAUGAAAAAAUGGAGGGAGGCUGACUUUGGUCUCUGCUUGAGCUGGGACUCCUGUCUUCCUCAGGCAUCAGCGUUUCCCAUUCUCAGGCCUUUGGUCUUGGACCAGGAUGUUCGUGAAUCUCUCUCUCCAGACUCAGUAAUAGGAAAAUAAACAACCCCAUUAAAAAUGGGCAAAGUUUAAACAUUUCU